This 72-nucleotide transfer RNA is filed under the name Ipomoea nil (Japanese morning glory). It matches the Rfam family "tRNA". Rfam says of the family: Transfer RNA (tRNA) molecules are approximately 80 nucleotides in length. Their secondary structure includes four short double-helical elements and three loops (D, anti-codon, and T loops). The record is from Rfam by way of RNAcentral. Lineage: Eukaryota; Viridiplantae; Streptophyta; Magnoliopsida; Solanales; Convolvulaceae.
GUCGUUGUAGUAUAGUGGAGAGUAUCCCCGCUUGUAACGUGGGAGACUCGGGUUCGAUCCCCGGCAACGGUG